This 898-nucleotide ribosomal RNA is filed under the name uncultured archaeon. RNAcentral's name for it is "bacterial SSU rRNA". It matches the Rfam family "Archaeal small subunit ribosomal RNA", at positions 1 to 875 of the family's 1478-position model. The record is from RNAcentral.
UUCCGGUUGAUCCUGCCGGACCCCACUGCUAUCGGGAUGAGACUAAGACAUGCUAGUCGUGCACCUCUAGGCCACGGUGGAGGCGCGGCGCACAGCUCAGUAACACGUGGCUAACCUACCCUUGGGACGGAAAUAACCCCGGGAAACUGGGGCUAAUUUCCGAUAGGUGAAGAUUCCUGGAAUGGAUCUUCGCCGAAAAGGCGUCUAGACCAUGCUUCUAGGCGCUGCCCAAGGAUGGGGCCGCGGCCGAUCAGGUUGUUGGUGAGGUAACGGCUCACCAAGCCUAUAACCGGUACGGGCCGUGGGAGCGGUAGCCCGGAGAUGGGCACUGAGACAAGGGCCCAGGCCCUACGGGGCGCAGCAGUCGCGAAACCUCCGCAAUACGCGAAAGCGUGACGGGGUCAUCCCGAGUGCCGUCCGCUGAGGAUGGCUUUUCCCCAGUGUAGACAGCUGGGGGAAUAAGGAGAGGGCAAGUCGGGUGUCAGCCGCCGCGGUAAUACCCGCUCUCCGAGUGGUGGGGACGCUUAUUGGGCCUAAAGCAUCCGUAGCCGGCUGGACAAGUCCCCUGUUAAAUCCAGCGAUUUAAUCGUUGGACUGCGGGGGAUACUGUCCGGCUAGGGGGCGGGAGAGGCCGACGGUAUUUCCGGGGUAGGGGUGAAAUCCUAUAAUCCCGGGAGGACCACCAGUGGCGAAGGCUGUCGGCUAGAACGCGCCCGACGGUGAGGGAUGAAAGCUGGGGGAGCGAACCGGAUUAGAUACCGGGGUAGUCCCAGCCGUAAACGAUGCAGGCUAGGUGUUCGGGUGGCUACGUGCCACUCGAGUGCCGCAGGGAAGCUGUUAAGCCUGCCGCCUGGGGAGUACGGCCGCAAGGCUGAAACUUAAAGGAAUUGGCGGGGGA